CAUUCAACUUUUAUCAAACAAUUAAUAAAAGGAAGUUUCGUAUAUCACACUCUUCACAACAACAAAAAAGAAGAAAAGAGAGAUAAAUAUAUUUUUUAUCACACCCACUCAGUGAAAUGGUUGGUCAAGCAUUAACGUGUUAAACAUGUUGAGAUUCCCUUCCAGAAAGACCACACUAAUUGUUUAAAGAACAUAUAAAAUGAUAGCAU
RNAcentral lists this long non-coding RNA (209 nucleotides) under Musa acuminata (dwarf banana). Its description in RNAcentral is "long non-coding RNA (MACU_LNC004650)". The record is from RNAcentral. Lineage: Eukaryota; Viridiplantae; Streptophyta; Magnoliopsida; Zingiberales; Musaceae.